Molecule: ribosomal RNA, 489 nt
Filed under: uncultured bacterium
Lineage: Bacteria
Description: partial 16S ribosomal RNA
Rfam family: Bacterial small subunit ribosomal RNA
Source: RNAcentral
GACGAACGCUGGCGGCGUGCUUAACACAUGCAAGUCGAACGGAAAGGCCCCCAUCUUGGUGGGGGUGCUCGAGUGGCGAACGGGUGAGUAACACGUGGGUGAUCUGCCCUGUACUUCGGGAUAAGCUUGGGAAACUGGGUCUAAUACCGGAUAGGACCAUGGUUUAGUGUCUCAUGGUGGAAAGAUUAUUGUUUUGGUGCAGGAUGAGCUCGCGGCCUAUCAGCUUGUUGGUGGGGUAAUGGCCUACCAAGGCGUCGACGGGUAGCCGGCCUGAGAGGGUGGACGGCCACAUUGGGACUGAGAUACGGCCCAGACUCCUACGGGAGGCAGCAGUGGGGAAUAUUGCACAAUGGGCGCAAGCCUGAUGCAGCGACGCCGCGUGGGGGAUGACGGCCGUCGGGUGGUAAACUCCUUUCGUUAGGGACGAAGCCGCACUUUUUUUGGGUGUGGUGACGGUACCUUUGUUAAGAAGCACCGGCUAACUACGUG